Molecule: ribosomal RNA, 445 nt
Filed under: uncultured bacterium
Lineage: Bacteria
Description: partial 16S ribosomal RNA
Rfam family: Bacterial small subunit ribosomal RNA
Source: RNAcentral
GUGAGGAAUAUUGGACAAUGGGCGCAAGCCUGAUCCAGCCAUGCCGCGUGCAGGAAGACGCAUCUAUGGUGUGUAAACUGCUUUUGUACGGGAAGAAACACUCCCUCGUGAGGGAGCUUGACGGUACCGUAAGAAUAAGGAUCUGCUAACUCCGUGCAAGCAGCCGCGGUAAUACGGAGGAUCCAAGCGUUAUCCGGAAUCAUUGGGUUGAAAGGAUCCGUAGGCGGUUUAAUAAGUCAGUGGUGAAAGCCCAUCGUUCAACGAUGGAACGGCCAAUGUUACUGUUAGACUUGAAUUACAAGGAAGUAACUAGAAUAUGUAGUGUAGCGGUGAAAUGCUUAGAUAUUACACAGAACACCGAUUGCGAAGGCAGCUUACUGGUCCAUUAUUGACGCUGAGGCACGAAAGCGUGGGGAUCGAACAGGAUUAGAUACCCUAGUAGUCC